Molecule: ribosomal RNA, 403 nt
Filed under: uncultured bacterium
Lineage: Bacteria
Description: partial 16S ribosomal RNA
Rfam family: Bacterial small subunit ribosomal RNA
Source: RNAcentral
AUUGAACGCUGGCGGCAGGCCUAACACAUGCAAGUCGAGCGAGCGGCGGACGGGUGAGUAAUGUAUGGGGACUGCCCGAUAGAGGGGGAUAACUACUGGAAACGGUGGCUAAUACCGCAUACUAUCGGAUAACCCAUAUGGGAUUAGCUAGUAGGUGGGGUAAAGGCUCACCUAGGCGACGAUCUCUAGCUGGUCUGAGAGGAUGAUCUGCCACACUGGGACUGAGACACGGCCCAGACCCCGACGGAGGCAGCAGUGGGGAAUAUUGCACAAUGGGCGCAAGCCUGAUGCAGCCAUGCCGCGUGUAUGAAGAAGGCCUUAGGGUUGUAAAGUACUUUCAGCGGGGAGGCGUUACCAACAGAAUAAGCACCGGCUAACUUCGUGCCAGCAGCCGCGGUAAUAC